RNAcentral lists this ribosomal RNA (253 nucleotides) under uncultured bacterium. RNAcentral's name for it is "partial 16S ribosomal RNA". It matches the Rfam family "Bacterial small subunit ribosomal RNA", at positions 524 to 776 of the family's 1533-position model. The record is from RNAcentral.
GACGGAGGAUGCAAGCGUUAUCCGGAAUUAUUGGGCGUAAAGCGUCCGCAGGUGGCAUUUCAAGUCUGCUGUCAAAGACCGGGGCUUAACCCCAGAAAGGCAGUGGAAACUGAAAAGCUAGAGAUAGGUAGGGGCAGAGGGAAUUCCCAGUGUAGCGGUGAAAUGCGUAGAGAUUGGGAAGAACACCGGUGGCGAAAGCGCUCUACUGGACCUGCACUGACACUGAGGGACGAAAGCUAGGGGAGCAAACGGG